This 890-nucleotide ribosomal RNA is filed under the name uncultured marine bacterium. RNAcentral describes it as "bacterial SSU rRNA". It matches the Rfam family "Bacterial small subunit ribosomal RNA", at positions 65 to 1001 of the family's 1533-position model. The record is from RNAcentral.
AACGGAGUAGCAAUACUUAGUGGCAGACGGGUGAGUAACAUGUAGGUAUCUGCCCUUUGGCCUGGAAUAACACGAGGAAACUUCGUGCUAAUACCGGAUAAGUCUUUACGGAGAAAGCUUUAUGCACCAUUGGAUGAGCCUGCACUUGAUUAGUUUGUUGGUGGGGUAAUGGCCUACCAAGACUGUGAUCAAUAGCUGAUUUGAGAGGAUGAUCAGCCACAUUGGGACUGAGACACGGCCCAAACUCCUACGGGAGGCAGCAGUGGGGAAUCUUGCACAAUGGAGGAAACUCUGAUGCAGCGAUGCCGCGUGAGUGAAGAAGGCCCUUGGGUUGUAAAGCUCUUUCGUCGGGGAAGAAAAUGACUGUACCCGAAUAAGAAGGUCCGGCUAACUUCGUGCCAGCAGCCGCGGUAAUACGAAGGGACCUAGCGUAGUUCGGAAUUACUGGGCUUAAAGAGUUCGUAGGUGGUUGAAAAAGUUAGUGGUGAAAUCCCAGAGCUUAACUCUGGAACUGCCAUUAAAACUUUUCAGCUAGAGUAUGAUAGAGGAAAGCAGAAUUUCUAGUGUAGAGGUGAAAUUCGUAGAUAUUAGAAAGAAUACCAAUUGCGAAGGCAGCUUUCUGGAUCAUUACUGACACUGAGGAACGAAAGCAUGGGUAGCGAAGAGGAAUAGAUACCCUCGUAGUCCAUGCCGUAAACGAUGUGUGUUAGACGUUGGAAAUUUAUUUUCAGUGUCCGCAAGGGAAACCGAUAAACACAACCGCCUGGGGAGUACGACCGCAAGGUUAAAACUCAAAUGAAUUGACGGGACCCGCACAAGUAGUGGAGCAUGGUGUUUAAUUCGAAGAUACGCGCAGAACUUUACAACACUUGACAUGUUCGUCGCGACUC